GCUGGGCAUGGUAGCUCAUGCCUGUAAUCCCAGCACUUUGGGAGGCUGAGGCAGGUGGAUCACCUGAGGUCAGGAGUUUGAGACCAGCCUGGCCAACAUGGUGAAACCCUGUCUCUA
This 117-nucleotide non-coding RNA is filed under the name Gorilla gorilla gorilla (western lowland gorilla). Lineage: Eukaryota; Metazoa; Chordata; Mammalia; Primates; Hominidae. The record is from Rfam by way of RNAcentral.